Molecule: long non-coding RNA, 257 nt
Organism: Lolium rigidum
Lineage: Eukaryota; Viridiplantae; Streptophyta; Magnoliopsida; Poales; Poaceae
Exons: 2
Source: RefSeq, a predicted model, not a curated record
CUUGUUGCCGCGCGCCUGGUACUGUUCAUCGAUCCGCACGUAGCCCAGUGAUCCAUAGAUGGGAUUAGGCCCAGAUCUUUCCAGCGUGACGGGCCAGGCUCCGGCCCGGUCCCUCCCCAACGCAGCAGCAAACCUGAUCCACCCCAGUACAGUGCAGGUCCGGCCCGGCUCGCCCUUUCCUAUUUUGUUUUUGCAUAAAUUGUUCAAAUCUUGCAAAAUUCAUAUCUUUUAAAUGCUAACUCGAAAUUAAAAGUGUU